GCCUACGGGGCGCAGCAGUAGGGAAUCUUUCACAAUGGGCGAAAGCCUGAUGGAGCAACGCCGCGUGAGUGAAGAAGGUCUUCGGAUCGUAAAACCCUGUUGUUAGAGAAGAAAGUGCGUGAGAGUAACUGUUCACGUUUCGACGGUAUCUAACCAGAAAGCCACGGCUAACUACGUGCCAGCAGCCGCGGUAAUACGUAGGUGGCAAGCGUUAUCCGGAUUUAUUGGGCGUAAAGGGAACGCAGGCGGUCUUUUAAGUCUGAUGUGAAAGCCUUCGGCUUAACCGGAGUAGUGCAUUGGAAACU
RNAcentral lists this ribosomal RNA (305 nucleotides) under uncultured bacterium. Its description in RNAcentral is "bacterial SSU rRNA". It matches the Rfam family "Bacterial small subunit ribosomal RNA", at positions 337 to 634 of the family's 1533-position model. The record is from RNAcentral.